GCCAGGCCGGUGGCACGUGCCUGUAGUCCUAGCUACUAGGAAGGCUGAGACAGGAGGGUCGCUUGAGCCCAGGAGUUCUAGGCUGUAGUGCGCUGUGUCAAGCAGUGUCCACACUAAGCUUGGCAUCAAUAUGGUGACUUCCCAGGAGUGAAGGACCACCAGGUUGCCUAAGGAGGGGUGAACCGAGAGGAGAAGCAGAGCAGGUCAAAACUCCAGUGCUGAUCAGAAAGAGGAUUGCCCCUGUGAAUAACUACUGCACUCCAGCCUGGGCAACAUAGCAAGACCCUGUCUCU
RNAcentral lists this signal recognition particle RNA (293 nucleotides) under Carlito syrichta (Philippine tarsier). Its description in RNAcentral is "Metazoan signal recognition particle RNA (ENSTSYG00000030427.1)". It matches the Rfam family "Metazoan signal recognition particle RNA". Rfam says of the family: The signal recognition particle (SRP) is a universally conserved ribonucleoprotein. It is involved in the co-translational targeting of proteins to membranes. Lineage: Eukaryota; Metazoa; Chordata; Mammalia; Primates; Tarsiidae. The record is from RNAcentral.